Small nuclear RNA from Schistosoma mansoni, 105 nucleotides. The record is from Rfam. NCBI's taxonomy places the organism in Eukaryota, Metazoa, Platyhelminthes, Trematoda, Strigeidida, Schistosomatidae.
GUACUCAUCAGAAGUACAUGUAUUAAAAUUUAAACCGUAUAGAGAAGAAUAGAAUGAAUAUUGAUCACGGAUAACACAUAAACUCAUAGAGCGCUUCAUAUUUUU